UAGCGACAAAAUAUUUUUUUCAUCGUAAAAUAUUAUCAAUGAUGCGAUUAUUUGCAAUAAAAUAUUUACGAUAAAAAUUUCUUCGUUAAUUACUAUUAGCGAUGAAAAUUUUACCGUUAAUAGUGUCGUUAAUAACUAUUAGCGAUGAAAAUAGAUUAUUAAUGAUGAAAAUUUUUUAUCACUAAUAAUCUAUUUUGUUGUAGUAUAUCAUUGGAUCGUGCAUAGAAC
This 228-nucleotide long non-coding RNA is filed under the name Elaeis guineensis (African oil palm). RNAcentral describes it as "long non-coding RNA (EGUI_LNC021695)". Lineage: Eukaryota; Viridiplantae; Streptophyta; Magnoliopsida; Arecales; Arecaceae. The record is from RNAcentral.